RNAcentral lists this transfer RNA (62 nucleotides) under Euhadra herklotsi. RNAcentral's name for it is "transfer RNA-Pro". The record is from RNAcentral. Lineage: Eukaryota; Metazoa; Mollusca; Gastropoda; Stylommatophora; Camaenidae.
UUAAAAGCAGUAUUGGAAUAUUUCAACUUUGGAAGUUGGGGGCUAGUUUAUCUACUUUUAAA